Molecule: transfer RNA, 77 nt
Filed under: ANME-2 cluster archaeon
Lineage: Archaea; Methanobacteriati; Methanobacteriota; Methanomicrobia; Methanosarcinales
Description: tRNA-Glu
Rfam family: tRNA
About the family: Transfer RNA (tRNA) molecules are approximately 80 nucleotides in length. Their secondary structure includes four short double-helical elements and three loops (D, anti-codon, and T loops).
Source: RNAcentral
UGCUCCGAUAGUGUAGCUCGGCCAAUCAUGCGGGGCUCUCAAUCCCGCGACUCGGGUUCAAAUCCCGGUCGGAGCAU